RNAcentral lists this transfer RNA (72 nucleotides) under Capra hircus (goat). It matches the Rfam family "tRNA". From Rfam's summary of the family: Transfer RNA (tRNA) molecules are approximately 80 nucleotides in length. Their secondary structure includes four short double-helical elements and three loops (D, anti-codon, and T loops). Further hydrogen bonds mediate the characteristic L-shaped molecular structure. tRNAs have two regions of fundamental functional importance: the anti-codon, which is responsible for specific mRNA codon recognition, and the 3' end, to which the tRNAs corresponding amino acid is attached (by aminoacyl-tRNA synthetases). tRNAs cope with the degeneracy of the genetic code in two manners: having more than one tRNA (with a specific anti-codon) for a particular amino acid; and 'wobble' base-pairing, i.e. permitting non-standard base-pairing at the 3rd anti-codon position. The record is from Rfam by way of RNAcentral. Lineage: Eukaryota; Metazoa; Chordata; Mammalia; Artiodactyla; Bovidae. RNAcentral also lists the same sequence under 1 other name.
UCCCUGGUGGCUCAGCUGGUAAAGAAUCCACCUGCAAAGCAGGAGACCCAGGUUCAAUUCCUGGGCUGGGAA